GGCUGGUUUGAUGGUAGUGGGUUAUCUGAACUUACAAACAUCAAUGUCACCAAAGUUGAUAAACAACCCCCCACUGCUAAAUUUGACUGGCUUUAA
Molecule: Y RNA, 96 nt
Filed under: Prolemur simus (greater bamboo lemur)
Lineage: Eukaryota; Metazoa; Chordata; Mammalia; Primates; Lemuridae
Description: Y RNA (ENSPSMG00000012783.1)
Rfam family: Y RNA
About the family: Y RNAs are components of the Ro ribonucleoprotein particle (Ro RNP), in association with Ro60 and La proteins. The Y RNAs and Ro60 and La proteins are well conserved, but the function of the Ro RNP is not known.
Source: Rfam by way of RNAcentral